CCCUUAGAUGUCCUGGGCCGCACGCGUGCUACACUGACACUUACACCGAGUUUUUCCAAUGCCGAAAGGCCAUUGGUAAUCAGCAAUAAGUGUCGUGAUGGGGAUAGAUCUUUGGAAUUAUUGAUCUUGAACGAGGAAUGCCUAGUAAUCGUAGGUCAUCAGCCUGCGAUGAUUACGUCCCUGCCCUUUGUACACACCGCCCGUCGCUCCUACCGAUUUCGAGUGGUUCGGUGAACCUUUCGGACCGGCAAUGCCUCGUGUUGCGCCGGAAAGUCAAGUAAACCAUNUNACUUACNGGAAGGAGAANUCGUANCA
Molecule: ribosomal RNA, 315 nt
Filed under: uncultured eukaryote
Lineage: Eukaryota
Description: partial 18S ribosomal RNA
Rfam family: Eukaryotic small subunit ribosomal RNA
Source: RNAcentral